RNAcentral lists this long non-coding RNA (2411 nucleotides) under Zostera marina. Its description in RNAcentral is "long non-coding RNA (ZMAR_LNC006046)". Lineage: Eukaryota; Viridiplantae; Streptophyta; Magnoliopsida; Alismatales; Zosteraceae. The record is from RNAcentral.
CUUGGGAUUUUUUUAAAAAAGUCUAUCCCGAUGUUGGAAUUUUUUUUAUAAAAAAAAGUCUAUCCCAACUCUUGGGAUUUUUUUAAAAAAAAAGUCUAUCCCGAUGUUGGGAAAAAGUCUAUCCCAAUGUUGGGAAUAAAGUCUAUCCCAAUCCUUGGGAUUAAAAAGUCUAUCCCACUUCUUGGGAUUUUUUUUAAAAGUCUAUCCCACUUCUUGGGAUUUUUUUUAAAAGUCUAUCCCACUUCUUGGGAUUUUUUUUAAAAGUCUAUCCCACUUCUUGGGAUUUUUUUUUAAAAAAAAGUCUAUCCCAAUCCUUGGGAUUUUUUAAAAAGUCUAUCCCACUUCUUGGGAUUUUUUUAAAAAAAUCUAUCCCAAUGUUGGGAAAAAAGUCUAUCCCAAUCCUUGGGAUUUUUUAAAAAGUCUAUCCCACUUCUUGGGAUUUUUUUUAAAAAGUCUAUCCCAACUCUUGGGAUUUUUUUUUUUAAAAAAGUCUAUCCCAAUGUUGGGAAAAAAGUCUAUCCCAAUCCUUGGGAUUUUUAAAAAGUCUAUCCAACUUCUUGGGAUUUUUUUUAAAAAGUCUAUCCCAACUCUUGGGAUUUUUUAANNNNNNNNNNNNNNNNNNNNNNNNNNNNNNNNNNNNNNNNNNNNNNNNNNNNNNNNNNNNNNNNNNNNNNNNNNNNNNNNNNNNNNNNNNNNNNNNNNNNGUCUAUCCCAAUGUUGGGAAAAAAGUCUAUCCCAAUCCUUGGGAUUUUUAAAAAAAAAGUCAAUCUCACUUCUUGGGAUUUUUUAAAAAAGUCUAUCCCGAUGUUGGGAUAUUUUUUUUUUAAAAGUCUAUCCCAAUGUUGGGAAUAAAGUCUAUCCCAAUCCUUGGGAUUUUUUUAAAAAAAGUCUAUCCCACUUCUUGGGAUUUUUAAAAAAGUCUAUCCCGAUUUUGGGAUUUUGAAAAGUCUAUCCCAAUGUUGGGAAUAAAGUCUAUCCCAAUCCUUCAGAUUUUUUUUUAAAAGUCUAUCCCAACUCUUGGGAUUUUUUAAAAAAGUGUAUCCCGAUGUUGGGAUUUAAAAAAGUCUAUCCCAAUGUUGGGAAUAAAGUCUAUCCCAAUCCUUGAGAUUUUUUAAAAAAGUCUAUCCCAACUUUUGGGAUUUUUUUAAAAAAAAAGUCUAUCCCGAUGUUGGGAAAAAGUCUAUCCCAAUGUUGGGAAUAAAACUAUCCCAAUGUUGGGAAUAAAGUCUAUCCCAAUCCUUGGGAUUAAAAAGUCUAUCCCACUUCUUGGGAUUUUUUUUUUUUAAAAAGUCUAUCCCAAUGUUGGGAAAAAAGACUAUCCCGAUCCUUCGGAUUUUUUAAAAAGUCUAUCCCACUUCUUGGGAUUUUUUAAAAAGUCUAUCCCACUUCUUGGGAAUUUUUUUUAAAAAGUCUAUCUCAAUGUUGGGAAAAAUGUCUAUCCCAAUCCUUGGGAUUUUUUAAAAAGUCUAUCCCACUUCUUGGGAUUUUUUUUAAAAAGUCUAUCCCAACUCUUGGGAUUUUUUUUAAAAAGUCUAUCCCAACUCUUGGGAUUUUUUUUUUUUAAAAGUCUAUCCCAAUGUUGGGAAAAAAGUCUAUCCCAAUCCUUGGGAUUUUUAAAAAGUCUAUCCCACUUCUUGGGAUUUUUUUUAAAAAAGUCUAUCCCAACUCUUGGGAUUUUUUAAAAAGUACCUAUCCCACUUCUUGGGAUUUUUUUUAAAAAGUCUAUCCCAAUGUUGGGAAAAAAGUCUAUCCCAAUCCUUGGGAUUUUUAAAAAGUCUAUCCCACUUCUUGGGAUUUUUUUUUUAAAAAGUCUAUCCCGAUGUUGGGAAAAAGUCUAUCCCACUUCUUGGGAUUAAGGUCCUUGAGGGAUCGACUUUUAUCCUUGAGAGAGAAAAAGUCGAUCUUCAAAAAGUCGAUCCCUAGUGCACUUGGAGGAUUCCUUGGAAGUCGAUGCCUGAAAGCCUGGCUCCUUGAGGGAUCGACUUUUUUCCUUGGAAGAAAAAGUCGAUCUUCUGAAAAGUUGAUCCCUUGUUGGCUGAUUUCCUCGCAAGACUCCCUAGCUGGCGACUUGGGAAAAAAGUCGAUCACUUUUUUCGAAAAAGUCGAGGAGCUUUUUUCGUGAGUAUCUUUGAAUCACAGACGGCGCCAACUGAUGGGGGUGAAACCCGACAAGUACUCCAAGACGCGCAAGCAAGCGCCAAGCGGGGAACUCCGUGGGAAACCGGACCGGAACUCAAGUGCGCAGAGCUCUGCUUCGCUAGGAAUCCUUUCGCUCCAAAUUACCUGCCUUUAAUGAGUGGGGGGUGCCCUCUAUUUAUAGGGGUUCUUAUGGGGGUAAUAUGGUCAUUUGGGCAGUAACUGCCUAACUGCCCAACUGAUCAGGUUGGGUCCAGGGGUCGACUUUCCAGAGA